AAGGAUUUAAGUUAAACAAACUUUCAACCUUCAAAGUUGAAUAUAGGGGCAUUCUCUAAGCCUUA
Molecule: transfer RNA, 65 nt
Filed under: Cyllorhynchites ursulus
Lineage: Eukaryota; Metazoa; Arthropoda; Insecta; Coleoptera; Attelabidae
Description: tRNA-Trp
Source: RNAcentral